GACUACCGGGGUAUCUAAUCCCGUUUGCUCCCCUGGCUUUCGCACCUCAGCGUCAGGACAGGCCCAGCGCAGCGCCUUCGCCUCCGGCAUUCCUCUUGAUAUCUACGCAUUCCACCGCUCCACCAAGAGUUCUCCGCGCCCCUACCUGCCUCAAGACCGCCCGUUCGCCCCGCAAUUCCUCGGUUAAGCCGAGGGAUUUCACGAAGCGCAAAGCAGCCCGCCUACGUGCUCUUUAAGCCCAGUGAUUCCGAACAACGCUUGCCACCUUCGUCUUACCGCGGCUGCUGGCACGAAGUUAGCCGUGGCUUCCUCUGGGACUCCUCAACGUGUGGGCGUAUUAGGCCCACUUGCUUGGUAAUCCCUGACGGCGGUUUACAUCCCGAAGGACUUCAUCCCGCACGCGGCGUCGCUGGGUCAGGCUUUCGCCCAUUGCCCAAUAUUCCUUACUGCAGCCGCCCGUAGG
This 463-nucleotide ribosomal RNA is filed under the name uncultured bacterium. RNAcentral describes it as "partial 16S ribosomal RNA". The record is from RNAcentral.